UGUAUCUUCUGUGUUUCUUAGGAUUCCAGCUCAUCUUCCUCCUCAGACAGCGAGGAUGAUCACAAGAAGAAGAAGAAGAAGAAGAAGAAAAAAAAGAAGACCAAGAAGAAGAAGGAAUCAAGCAGUUCUUCCUCUGACAGCUCCAGUGAAGAUGAGGAGAAGAAGAAGAAGAAGAAGAAGAAGAAAGACAAAAAGAAGAAAAAGAAAAAGGAAAAGAAGAAGGAUUCAGGAGGUGAGUCUGAAUCAGACGGAGAGAAAGACAAGAAGGUAAGGAACAGGACAGACAUCAGGUGUGUGUGUGUGUGUGUGUGUGUGUGUGUGUGUGUGUGUGUGUGUAAAAUCAGUAAUCAAACAAAUUCUACUGUACUCUAAACUGUAAACGUCCUGCAGUUAAACUGAUUAACUAUAUUACGUUUGUGAUUGAGUAUUGAUUUAUUAUUUUUGUGAAGUCAACGUAAAAAUGUUGUAUUUAUUUAUUUAUUUAUUGCCAAACAUUGCGAAUUUUGCUUGGUGAGCUCGUCAACAAUAAUAACAAACAUUAAAAUACAUAUAUAAAUACAUACACAUACACAACUAUAUAUGUC
RNAcentral lists this long non-coding RNA (584 nucleotides) under Sinocyclocheilus grahami. RNAcentral describes it as "lncRNA (ENSSGRG00000051949.1)". The record is from RNAcentral. Lineage: Eukaryota; Metazoa; Chordata; Actinopteri; Cypriniformes; Cyprinidae.